AGCCAACCAGGACAAGGCCGGGGAGCUCGAGACAGGCAGCCUAGACCAAGAACCGGAAGGAGGAAAAGGAACCGGAGGGAGGAAGAGGAGGGGCGGGACGAGACCACCAGGCAAGAGUCCAAACUUUCCCGCGGCGACCUAACUGCACCUCCAGUGUCUUCCCCCAGAGGGCACAGAAGCAGCAAGAAGGGCGGGAACACUUGACUGGGGUCCAUGCAGCUCUAGGCUGAGUCUUGCAGGGCUGAGCCCCCCAGGCCUGCUCUCCUGUGUCCUGGCCGCUCCGUCAGUGCCUGCCAGUGGGGUCCAGAGGGACCGUUUUUUUAACGCCUCUUUUGCAGUCUCCCGCAUUGACUUCAUAACCAAGUUCUGGGUCCCUGCCUCUGGAGUGCCUGAUGAGACAAAACGGCUCCUCGUCCUGCAUCCCCGCUGCUACUUCCAGAAUUCAGGCCUCGUGGUCUGGAGCCUGCACUGUUCCAUGAGCCUCCUGAGCAACCUGGAGUCCUCUGUCUUUCUUCCCUCAGUGAGAUGCGCCUACUUCUCCCUGGAGAAGCUUGAGGAAGCAGAAAUGCUGGAGAUGAGCUGCUCCUCACUCUCACUCCUGGGUGUGCUGGGCAGUGGGGUGCAAUGUGCACGUAGGUGCACACUCUCCCUGGGCGGCAGCGAGCAGCAGAGGUCUGAUCUGUGGUCGGAUGACGAGAGGAAGUGCAAGUAAAGCAGCUGCAGCGACGGAGUUUUGCUCUUGUUGCCCAGGCUGGUGCAAUCUCGGCUCACCACUACCUCUGCCUUCUGGGCUCAAGCGAUUCUCCUUCCUCAGCCUCCUGAGUGCUGGGAUUACAGAGACCUCGUCCGCACAGGGGCUUGUUCUUCUGUGUCUUUGCAGGGCUGUUUUGGACUCAGUAUUCACCUAAGCACUCCAAAUUGUAAGUAACCCCAGAGAUCAUGGAGUGUCCCACUGCCCCUCCAUCUGAAGGCUGUGACCUCUCCCCCAAGGAGGAGGUGCUCGCAUGCGUCCAGUGCCCUGCCCAUUAGAUUAGGGAGGGUUCCCUUUUUUGCUCUCUUGCACUCAUUUGUCCGCCUUUUAGCUUUCCUUUUCUGCCCUGACUCUCACAGGGUCGUGCGGAUGUGCGAUGUAGGAGGAGGAGAGAGGUAAAGUGGAGGAAUAGGAGCUGGAGGGGAGGAGGAGAGAAGAAAAGAGGAGAAGGAGGGGGAAGAGAGGGAGCGGGUUCAAGGAGGGAAGGAGGAGGAGAAGGAGAGGAGGAGGAGAUGAGACCAAGGAGAAGAGGUGAAGGAGGAGAGGAGGACACAGAAAAGAGAAGAAAGAGGAGAGGAGACGGAGAAGAGGAGGAGGAGUAACAAAGGAGGAAGAAGAGGAAGAGGACUAGAAGAGCAAGUAAGGAGGAGGAGGGGGGAGUAGGAGGAGAGGAGAAGGACAGAAGGGGAAGGAGAGGCAGAUGUGGAGGAGAGGAGGUGGAGGACAGGAGGGGAUGAGAAAGAGGAGGAGAAAAGGAGAGGAGAGGGAUGAGGGGGGAGGAGGAAGAGAAAAGAACAGGAGGAGAAGAGGAGGAGAAAAGGAGGAGGAGUGAAA
Homo sapiens (human) is the source of this 1585-nucleotide long non-coding RNA. Ensembl annotates it as EOLA2 divergent transcript. Its record names the gene EOLA2-DT. The record is from Ensembl. Lineage: Eukaryota; Metazoa; Chordata; Mammalia; Primates; Hominidae.